CAGCAGCCGCGGUAAUACGUAGGGUGCAAGCGUUAAUCGGAAUUACUGGGCGUAAAGCGUGCGCAGGCGGUUAUAUAAGACAGAUGUGAAAUCCCCGGGCUCAACCUGGGAACUGCAUUUGUGACUGUAUAGCUAGAGUACGGCAGAGGGGGAUGGAAUUCCGCGUGUAGCAGUGAAAUGCGUAGAUAUGCGGAGGAACACCGAUGGCGAAGGCAAUCCCCUGGGCCUGUACUGACGCUCAUGCACGAAAGCGUGGGGAGCAAACAGGAUUAGAUAUCCCUGUAGUCCCUGUCUCUUAUAC
Molecule: ribosomal RNA, 301 nt
Filed under: uncultured bacterium
Lineage: Bacteria
Description: partial 16S ribosomal RNA
Rfam family: Bacterial small subunit ribosomal RNA
Source: RNAcentral